UCUCAGUUCAUGACCCCUUUAAAAAGAAAAUCUGUAUAGACUCUUCAUGAAAUGUUUAGUGUCAGGAAAGUGACCCUCCCAAUGCAAAUCAAAGCCCUGAAUGUCUGUUUAGUAUUUAUGUGCUGCUGAUUGGAUCUGAAGUGUUACAUCACCACUGUCAAGAUGAAGAAUGCACUCUGCUUACUGCUGCUCUCAUUCAGCCUACAACGCAUAAAAUGUCAAAGCAUGGAGUCCACUGAAAGCACAGUUCAGAAAAAGCCUGGAGAAACUCUGACUCUGUCCUGUAGAGGAUCUGGGUUCAGCUUUGGCUGCUGUAGCAUGCACUGGAUCAGACAACAAGCUGGAAAACCACUUGUGUGGAUGGGACGUGUUUCUAGUGACAGCAGUGUCUAUGACUACUCUGAAUCCUUCAAAGGUCGAACUGAAAUCACCAGAGAUAAUUCAAAGAGUAUGGUGUAUCUGAAACUAUCAGGCCUGACAGCAGAAGACUCAGCCUUGUAUUAUUGUGCAAAGCAAGCACAGUGACACAAAGUCUUGUACGGCUGAACAAAAACCACACUGA
This is a non-coding RNA of Cyprinus carpio (common carp), 562 nucleotides long. The record is from the annotation of a RefSeq genome assembly. NCBI's taxonomy places the organism in Eukaryota, Metazoa, Chordata, Actinopteri, Cypriniformes, Cyprinidae.